This 441-nucleotide ribosomal RNA is filed under the name Bacillus sp. (in: firmicutes). RNAcentral describes it as "bacterial SSU rRNA". It matches the Rfam family "Bacterial small subunit ribosomal RNA", at positions 62 to 483 of the family's 1533-position model. Lineage: Bacteria; Bacillati; Bacillota; Bacilli; Caryophanales; Bacillaceae. The record is from RNAcentral.
UCGAGCGAAUGGAUUGAGAGCUUGCUCUCAAGAAGUUAGCGGCGGACGGGUGAGUAACACGUGGGUAACCUGCCCAUAAGACUGGGAUAACUCCGGGAAACCGGGGCUAAUACCGGAUAACAUUUUGAACCGCAUGGUUCGAAAUUGAAAGGCGGCUUCGGCUGUCACUUAUGGAUGGACCCGCGUCGCAUUAGCUAGUUGGUGAGGUAACGGCUCACCAAGGCAACGAUGCGUAGCCGACCUGAGAGGGUGAUCGGCCACACUGGGACUGAGACACGGCCCAGACUCCUACGGGAGGCAGCAGUAGGGAAUCUUCCGCAAUGGACGAAAGUCUGACGGAGCAACGCCGCGUGAGUGAUGAAGGCUUUCGGGUCGUAAAACUCUGUUGUUAGGGAAGAACAAGUGCUAGUUGAAUAAGCUGGCACCUUGACGGUACCUAAC